Molecule: long non-coding RNA, 4769 nt
Filed under: Sorghum bicolor (sorghum)
Lineage: Eukaryota; Viridiplantae; Streptophyta; Magnoliopsida; Poales; Poaceae
Description: long non-coding RNA (SBIC_LNC005619)
Source: RNAcentral
UGUUGUGAAACGAUGUCUCCUCUGAAGAGACACCUCUUCAUCAUCUAAUCGGUGAUCUCAUCUGGUGAUAGGAUUAGCAGUUAGCCUAGCAGUUAGCAUGCCAUCCGAAGGGGCAUGUCCUUUGGCCAAGAGCAGUUGCUCUUCCUGUACUCAAACACCAAGGAGUCACGUCCGUACGACGUGAUCUCUCACUUGUAUAUAAUCUAACAAGAUCAAUGAAAGCAGCAGUUGUUCACUGUUCAUUUACAUUCACUCUUAACACGUUAUCAGACACGUUGCUCUACGAGAACAGACAGAGGAACAGAAAGACGACGCCCAAACAGAGGCAUUUACAUGUCUCUGAACCCCCAUCGUUUCUACGGGGGUCGAUCUGAUGGAAGAGGAAUUAUGCCUAAUGGACAGCGGUACCACUAAUUCUAUUCUUAGGGAAACAAAAUAUUUUCAAACUCUUACUAAAAGACAAGGAAAUGUUUUGACAAUCGCUGGGCGCGAUGCUACGAUAAUUGGUUCAGGUCGUGCCAUUAUCGUACUCCCUAUGGGUACCCAAAUUACAAUUGAGGAUGCAUUAUUAUAUCCCGAUUCAAAGCGUACCUUAUUAAGUUAUAGAGAUAUCCGUCAAAAUGGUUUCCAUAUAGAAACCCUUGAUGACAAUAAUGAGGAAAUUCUCCUUGUUACUAAAAACAAUGGAUAUGGCAAACAAAUUGUUGAGAAAAUUCCCUCUUUCCCAUCCGGAUUGUACUACACAUACAUCAAACCCGUAUCACAUGUUGCGUACAAGGUAAUUUUCCAGAAUGUUGAUGCAUUCAAAACUUGGCAUGAUCGCCUUGGUCAUCCUGGUAUAGGGAUGAUGCGGAAAAUUAUCAACAAUUCAAAUGGUCAUGAGUUAAAUACUGCUAAAUUUCCGAAAUAUUCAGAUUUUAUGUGCACUUCAUGCGCUACAGGAAAAUUGAUCUUGCGUCCAUCGCCCGUCAAGAUCCAAAAUGAGCCACUAAAAUUUCUUGAACGCAUUCAAGGAGAUAUUUGUGGCUCUAUACAACCAACAUCUGGACCGUUCAGGUAUUUCAUGGUUCUAAUAGACGCAUCUACUAGAUGGUCUCAUGUGUGUCUUUUGUCCACACGUAAUCAUGCUUUCGCAAAAAUUAUUGCUCAAGUUAUUAAACUUAGAGCACAUAAUCCUAAACAUCAAAUUCAAUCAAUUCGAAUGGACAAUGCUGCUGAAUUUUCCUCAAAGGCUUUCAAUGAUUAUUGUAUGGCCUUAGGAAUUCAAGUUCAACACUCGGUCCCAUAUGUCCAUACACAAAAUGGUUUAGCAGAAUCUCUUAUUAAAAGAAUUAAACUCAUUGCAAGACCACUACUACAAAAUUGCAAUCUACCAACUUCAUGUUGGGGUCAUGCAGUCUUACACGCUGCUGACUUAAUUCAAUUGCGUCCAACUGCAUACCAUGUUGUCUCCCCAUUGCAAUUAGUACGUGGGAAUAUGCCAAAUAUUUCCCAUCUGCGAAAAUUUGGUUGCGCUGUAUACGUACCGAUCUCACUACCUAAGCGUACCUCUAUGGGUCCACAUAGGAAACUUGGUAUCUAUGUGGGAUAUCAAUCCCCAUCGAUUAUCAAAUACCUCGAGCCUCUUACAGGGGACUUAUUCACGGCCCGGUAUGCUGACUGCAUAUUCAAUGAGGACCAUUUCCCAGCAUUAGGGGGAGAUUUCAAGUACCAAAGUGAAUGCCAGGAAAUCAACUGGAAUGCCCAAGGCAAUUCCCCCUCAGAUCCACGUACUCAAGAAACUGAACAACAAGUUCAGAAAAUCAUAAACUUGCAACAUAUUGCAAAUAACCUGCCAGAAGCAUUUACUGAUUAUAAGGGUGUCACUAAAUCCUCUUAUCCUGCUCGCAAUGCGCCCGAAAGAGUGGAGGUACCAAUAAAAACCAUUCAACUCCCACUUCCAAAGAAGAGGGGGAGAAGUACGGCCGCUCCUAAGGAUAAUGCUCCAAGUAAGCGUCUGAGGAAAUCGAGAGCUAAAUCCUCCAAAUCAUUAAAUCCAAGCCAACCUCAAGUUGGUAGACACCUAAUAGUGGAUAAAAAUCCAACACCAGGACCAAAUCCACAACCCGGAUCAACGGUGCAUCCAAAUUCUGAUCCUGGGACAUCGGAACACCCUGACUCCAUAGUUUUGGGAAAUGUUGAGUCAAAUAAUGGGGUGAAAGAAAUUUCCAUCAAUUAUAUUGAUUCUGGAGAAUCAUACGAUCGUAAGACUACUGUUGUAGACAUGUAUUUCUCCGCAGCAAUUGCAGAAAUCUUUCUCAAUGAUCCAGAUCCUAAGACCAUGGCAGAGUGCAAAAAGCGCUCAGACUGGGCUCAAUGGAAAGAAGCAAUUCAAGCUGAGAUAGCCUCGCUCACUAAAAGAGGGGUAUUCACAAAAGCUAUGCCCACACCCUCCAAAGUCUUUCCUAUAGGCUUUAAAUGGGUUUUCGUCCGGAAACGGAAUGAGAACAAUGAGGUGGUGAGAUAUAAAGCAAGGCUCGUAGCACAAGGGUUCACGCAGAGACCCGGCAUUGAUUAUAAUGAAACUUAUUCUCCAGUAAUGAGUGGAAUUACUUUCCGAUACUUAAUAUCAUUGGCAGUUCAAAAUCAUCUAUCUAUGCAGUUGAUGGAUGUGGUGACAGCAUAUUUAUAUGGGUCACUUGAUUCGGACAUAUAUAUGAAGGUUCCCGAUGGAAUCCAAAUUCCGAAUCCAAACGCAAAUCGUAACAUGUAUUGUGUAAAACUACAAAAGUCAUUAUAUGGCUUGAAGCAGUCGGGACGAAUGUGGUACAACCGACUGAGUGAAUUCCUUUUAAACAAAGGAUACACCAAUAAUGAUGAUUGCCCAUGUGUUUUCAUUAAGAAAUCUCAAACGGGAUUUUGUAUUAUAUCUGUAUAUGUUGAUGAUUUAAAUAUCAUUGGCAGUCCAAAUGAUAUAGAAGAAGCACGCAAACAUCUAACGACGGAAUUCGAGAUGAAGGAUUUGGGAAAGACCAAAUAUUGCCUAGGUUUACAAAUUGAGCACCGUCCUUUAGGGAUUUUAGUGCAUCAAUCAGCCUAUAUCCAGAAAAUAUUGGAGAAAUUCAAUAUGGAUAAAUCAUACCCUAAUAAAACCCCGAUGGUUGUUCGUUCCUUAGAAUUAGGGAAAGAUCCAUUUAGACCACGGGAUGUUGGGGAGAAGACGUUGGGACCAGAAAUCCCAUAUCUCAGUGUUAUUGGCGCACUUAUGUAUCUUGCAAAUUGCACCAGGCCUGAUAUCGCAUUUGCAGUGAACUUACUAGCUAGGCAUAGUGCGGACCCGACUCACCGUCAUUGGACGGGAGCAAAGUGUAUCCUCAGAUACCUUAAUGGCACAAAGGAUCUUGGUUUAUUCUUCAAAAAAAAUCAUGAUUCCAGUAUGAUUGGCUAUACAGAUGCUGGUUACUUAUCUGAUCCUCAUAACGGAAAAUCCCAAACAGGAUUUGUAUUCCUACAUGGAGGUACAGCUAUUUCAUGGAAGUCUUCUAAGCAGACUCUAACAGCCACCUCUACUAAUCAUUCUGAAAUUAUUGCUUUAUACGAGGCAUCACGAGAAUGUGUGUGGCUUCGCAGAAUGAUUAACCACAUACAACAGACAUGUGGUAUUGGUUCAAUUGAAUCACCAACAAUUAUCUAUGAAGAUAAUUCCGCUUGUGUUACACAGAUGCAAACAGGUUACAUAAAGAGCAAUAUCACUAAGCAUAUUGUUCCUAAAUUGUUUUAUCCCCAUGAAUUACAAGAAAGUGGGGAAAUAAACAUCUUGCAAAUCAAGUCAUGUGAUAAUCUCGCUGACCUAUUUACUAAGUCCUUACCAACUUCUGUGUUUCAAAAAUUGGUACAUGGAAUUGGUAUGAGGCGACUUCGAGAUUUGCCAGAAUCAGGGGGAGACAUCUCCUAGAUGCCACCUGUACCAGCAUCAUAUUAUACUCUUUUCUUUCACAAGUUUUACUCAAAAGGUUUCUUGUUAAAGUUUUUAAUGAGGUAAUAUUAACAUAAGCAUGUGUUAUAUUUUCUAUUUUCCCCACCGGGGUUUUUGUGGGAAAUAUCAAAGACACAUAUUGCCCUCCCAACUCAUCCAUGGUUUUUCCUUGAAAAAGGUUUUUCAUGAGAGUUAUUUCAAGAGGCAAUACUUAUAGUAUGUCGUCAUAUUUUUCUCCUGAUUUUCCUACUGGGUUUUUAUAGGAGUUUUAGCGACAUAUCUCUUAAUAUGGCUCCUCACAUUUUUCCUAAACGGUUUUUUAGAGGAGUUAUCUUUAUGUCAUAUCUCCAAUAUUUUUCCCCACUAGGGUUUUUAAUUGGAAUACCAAUGACAUAGUGGUUUGUUUAAAUCACACAAAUAUAUGCUACCUUCUCCUUGUUUUCCUAUAAAGGUUUAAAGGAGUUUUACAGCAUAUCCAUACAUACAUAUUCCUCAGAUUUUUCCCACAGGGUUUUUCGAGGAAUCCAAGAUUACAGCUACAUUGAUCUUAAGAAUGAUUCGAUCAAGGGGGAGUGUUGUGAAACGAUGUCUCCUCUGAAGAGACACCUCUUCAUCAUCUAAUCGGUGAUCUCAUCUGGUGAUAGGAUUAGCAGUUAGCCUAGCAGUUAGCAUGCCAUCCGAAGGGGCAUGUCCUUUGGCCAAGAGCAGUUGCUCUUCCUGUACUCAAACACCAAGGAGUCACGUCCGUACGACGUGAUCUCUCACUUGUAUAUAAUCUAACAAGAUCAAUGAAAGCAGCAGUUGUUCACUGUUC